RNAcentral lists this ribosomal RNA (425 nucleotides) under uncultured bacterium. Its description in RNAcentral is "bacterial SSU rRNA". It matches the Rfam family "Bacterial small subunit ribosomal RNA", at positions 355 to 776 of the family's 1533-position model. The record is from RNAcentral.
UGAGGAAUAUUGGUCAAUGGGCGGGAGCCUGAACCAGCCAAGUCGCGUGAGGGAAGACGGUCCUAAGGAUUGUAAACCUCUUUUGUCGGGGAGCAAGAUAGGGCACGCGUGCCCUGUUGGAGAGUACCCGAAGAAAAAGCAUCGGCUAACUCCGUGCCAGCAGCCGCGGUAAUACGGAGGAUGCGAGCGUUAUCCGGAUUUAUUGGGUUUAAAGGGUGCGUAGGCGGGAGCGGAAAGUCAGCGGUAAAAUGUCGGGGCUCAACCCCGGCCGGCCGUUGAAACUUCCCUUCUUGAGUGGGCGAGAAGUAUGCGGAAUGCGUGGUGUAGCGGUGAAAUGCAUAGAUAUCACGCAGAACUCCGAUUGCGAAGGCAGCAUACCGGCGCCCGACUGACGCUGAGGCACGAAAGCGUGGGUAUCGAACAGG